CCUACGGGAGGCAGCAGUGAGGAAUAUUGGUCAAUGGACGCAAGUCUGAACCAGCCAUGCCGCGUGCAGGAUGACGGCUCUAUGAGUUGUAAACUGCUUUUGUACGAGGGUAAACCCCGAUACGUGUAUCGGGUUGAAAGUAUCGUACGAAUAAGGAUCGGCUAACUCCGUGCCAGCAGCCGCGGUAAUACGGAGGAUCCGAGCGUUAUCCGGAUUUAUUGGGUUUAAAGGGUGCGUAGGCGGUUUGAUAAGUUAGAGGUGAAAUGUCGGGGCUCAACCCCUUUAAGCCGUUGAAACUGGUGAUCUUGAGUGGGCGAGAAGUAUGCGGAAUGCGUGGUGUAGCGGUGAAAUGCAUAGAUAUCACGCAGAACUCCGAUUGCGAAGGCAGCAUACCGGCGCCCGACUGACGCUGAGGCACGAAAGCGUGGGGAUCGAACAGGAUUAGAUACCCUAGUAGUC
RNAcentral lists this ribosomal RNA (459 nucleotides) under uncultured bacterium. RNAcentral describes it as "partial 16S ribosomal RNA". It matches the Rfam family "Bacterial small subunit ribosomal RNA", at positions 338 to 795 of the family's 1533-position model. The record is from RNAcentral.